Neofelis nebulosa (Clouded leopard) is the source of this 1213-nucleotide long non-coding RNA. RefSeq lists it as uncharacterized. Lineage: Eukaryota; Metazoa; Chordata; Mammalia; Carnivora; Felidae. The record is from RefSeq and is a predicted model, not a curated record. The transcript has 3 exons.
ACAAUCUACUUACUCCUUGAAACUGGAUCCAGAGCACCUGGAAUAAGAAUGUCCCUUAGAAAUCAUCUUGUCUGAUUCUGUUUCCAAUAGCAGCAGAGAAGCUUAUCUCAGGAAUUUGAGAGUGACAAAGAGCAGGAUAGAAACUGCAAAUGAUAUCACCCUUAAAGGAGGAAAGCCUCACUGGACCGGAUACACUCUAAUAUGGCUUUUAUCUGAGAUAACUCUUUAGUCUGAAAGGCACAGAGCAGCUGGAAAUAAGCUGAAGGCUCUUGCGUUAUUGACUUGAGAUAUCCGAAGACAGAGUUGGGAGCCGCUAGAGAAGCUGGAAGUUGAGUUGAGAAAUUCUGGCAAGAAGGAAGUCACAGAUCUGUGUAUAAAGUCCCCUCGAACCCUUGGCUAACUCCUGAUACGCAUCUGCCUGGGGAAAACCCGACAGAAAGCAACAGAUGAAAGGUUGAAAGGAAUUUCAGUUGCUGCUCUUCAUAAAAGAGAGAGAGUUUAGAAUUCGAGUCUGGCCAUGUUGGAGGACUUGGUAAAUUCACCCUAUUCACAGAAACCCCACAAGGUUCAAGCCGUGGGAGCAAAGACUGUGUCCCAGAUCUAAAGGGUUUUAGGUCUAAGCAUAAACCAUGAGACCUACUCCAGAAAGUAUAAAACCAAGUCUCUCUGAGUUCAGUGUGAUCGGCCAAUAACUGUCUUCCAGAACAAAAAUCAACACCAUCCCAAGGACAAUAACAGAAUCCAGAGUCUCUGCAAUACGUCGUGCACAGGGUCUAGUACUUAUUAAAUAUCAGUAGGUAUGCAAAGGAACAGGAAAAUGUGACUCACAGUCAUGAGAAAAACGAGUCAGAAGAACCAGCCCUAAGAUGACAUAGAUGUUGGAACUAGCAGACAAGAAUUUUCAGCAGCUGUUGUAACUAUGCUCAGUCUAGACGUUAUCGACUUACCGUUUCUCAGCCUCGACUUUGCUUUUCUGUGACCUGCUUUGUGAUGUUGGAGCAAGAGUCUGUAACAUUUCUCUUUUGCCAACUGUCCCAGUAUUGAGCUUUGUUAACAGAAGUAUGAGGCUGCCAGAAGACUGCGUGAUGCCCAGCAGGUGGCUUUCCCCGUGAACUUCAGCAGCAGGCUUCAUGCCCAGUGUGGAACACAGUGCAGGGCUUGCACUCACGACCCUGAGAUCAAGACCUGUGCUGACAUCAAGAGUUGGAUGCUU